AAGGUCUCAGUUCAGAUUGCAGGCUGCAACCCGCCUGCAUGAAGUCGGAAUUGCUAGUAAUCGCGGAUCAGCAUGCCGCCGGUGAAUACGUUCCCGGGCCUUGUACACACCGCCCGUCACACCAUGGGAGCCGGUAAUACCCGAAGUCAGUAGUCCAACCUCGUGAGGACGCUGCCGAAGGUAGGAUUGGCGACUGGGGUGAAGUCGUAACAAGGUACC
Molecule: ribosomal RNA, 219 nt
Filed under: uncultured bacterium
Lineage: Bacteria
Description: partial 16S ribosomal RNA
Rfam family: Bacterial small subunit ribosomal RNA
Source: RNAcentral